UACUAUAAUAUCCCUCUGGUGCACUUACAACAAUAUAUAAUACAAACAAAGUGAAUCUGCAGAAAAUGAUUGAGGGAUGCCAAAUAGAAAAUGAGGCCAGAAAUCUAGCUAAGCAAGCGUACUUGUAUAAAGUCGCUGAAACAUGGACCCCAAUUGUUAACCCUGUAAACCUGAAGAUCAAGUGAGAAAAUCAAAUAAAAUUAGAACCUUUUCUCAUCAAGUAAAAGUGUAAAACAUUGGGAAGUCAACUUGAAACAUAGAUCACAAUUAUCAAUCUGUAAACCUGAAGAUUCCAUGAAGAGCAAUGAAAGAAAAGCAAAAAAGAUUAGCCAUACCAGCCUAUGUUAGGAGUGCAACAUCCAAAAUUUUGGCACAUAAAGUACGAGUUCUGAAACGUCAAAG
Molecule: long non-coding RNA, 402 nt
Filed under: Triticum aestivum (bread wheat)
Lineage: Eukaryota; Viridiplantae; Streptophyta; Magnoliopsida; Poales; Poaceae
Description: long non-coding RNA (TAES_LNC004069)
Source: RNAcentral